CAGUAGCCACGGUAAUACGGAGGGUGCAAGCGUUACUCGGAAUUACUGGGCGUAAAGCGUGCGUAGGUGGUGGUUUAAGUCCGUUGUGAAAGCCCUGGGCUCAACCUGGGAAUUGCAGUGGAUACUGGGUCACUAGAGUGUGGUAGAGGAUAGUGGAAUUUCCGGUGUAGCAGUGAAAUGCGUAGAGAUCGGAAGGAUCAUCUGUGGCGAAGGCGACUAUCUGGGCCAACACUGACACUGAGGCACGAAAGCGUGGGGAGCAAACAGGAUUAGAUACCCCGGUAGUCCCUGUCUCUUAUAC
This 301-nucleotide ribosomal RNA is filed under the name uncultured bacterium. RNAcentral describes it as "partial 16S ribosomal RNA". It matches the Rfam family "Bacterial small subunit ribosomal RNA", at positions 509 to 807 of the family's 1533-position model. The record is from RNAcentral.